CCUACGGGAGGCAGCAGUGGGGAAUAUUGCACAAUGGGGGAAACCCUGAUGCAGCGACGCCGCGUGAGUGAAGACGUACUUCGUUAUGUAAAGCUCUAUCAGCAGGGGAGAAAAUGACGGUACCUGUGUAAGAUUCCCCGGCUAACUACGUGCCAGCAGCCGCGGUAAUACGUAGGGGGCAAGCGUUAUCCGGAUUUACUGGGUGUAAAGGGAGCGUAGUCGGCAGUGCAAGUCUGGAGUGAAAGGCGGGGGCUCAACCCCCGGACUGCUCUGGAAACUGUACGGCUGGAGUGCAGGAGAGGUAAGUGGAAUUCGUAGUGUAGCGGUGAAAUGCGUAGAUAUUAGGAGGAACACCAGUGGCGAAGGCGGCUUACUGGAGUGUAACUGACGUUGAGGCUCGAAAGCGUGGGGAGCAAACAGGAUUAGAUACCCUUGUAGUC
Molecule: ribosomal RNA, 440 nt
Filed under: uncultured bacterium
Lineage: Bacteria
Description: partial 16S ribosomal RNA
Rfam family: Bacterial small subunit ribosomal RNA
Source: RNAcentral